Long non-coding RNA from Hibiscus syriacus, 197 nucleotides. RefSeq lists it as uncharacterized. The record is from RefSeq and is a predicted model, not a curated record. The transcript has 3 exons. NCBI's taxonomy places the organism in Eukaryota, Viridiplantae, Streptophyta, Magnoliopsida, Malvales, Malvaceae.
GGAGAAGGAGGUUAUGCCCCCUUCUAUUUCUACAUCUAGGAUCCGACUUGUAUCAUUGAUAAUAAUAGGAACUGAACCAUUAUGACAAAGAAAAGUUUGAUUCAUAGGGAGAAGAAGAGGCAAAAAUUAGAAGAAAAAUAUCAUUUGAUUCGUCUAUCCUCAAAAAAAGAAAUAAGUAAAGUUCCGUUGUAGAGUGA